GUUGACACAUGGCCAUAUGUUGGAGAAAAGGAAUGAAGACAAGCAGAAAUCACAAGAAAAAAGCCAGCCUGCUGAACAUGGAACAAUGUGGUGCUCAGCCUCUGGAUUUCUUUGACAGUUGCAGAAACUUUUGGGAGGACGUAAUUUCCCCUUGACUUUCCCACCAAGAUUCUUCAGCUAAGGACUUAACAUUCAUCAGUCUAAGAGCAUCUCCAAAUAACAGUUAAUUAUCCUACCCAACAUCCUACCAGGUUGGUAAGUAUUCUGCCAUUUUACAGAUAAAGAUAAUUAUAAAAAUACAAAAAUUUCGGACUGGCAAUCAUUAACAAUUGCAUAAAGAAAAUUAUUCCUCCACUUGUGUGUGGUAAAGCACAUGUAUAGAAUUUAUGGACUGCUGUGUUACUCAGACCAGCAGCAAUGGGUACCUCUACAGGAGAACAUACCAGGUGAUAUCUAGUCAUCAAACUCAGCUUACAUCACUCAGAGUAGAUGGCAACAUGCCUGUGUCCCACACAGAAAUGUCACCGCUGGCUUCAGUAAAUUGACAAGAUCAUAUUCAUAUAUUUAUAGUUUGGGGGUGACUUCUUCAUGCAUGUAAACAGGGAUGUUUUGCUUUCAAAUCAGGUAUAAUGUUACCUUAAAGCAUGAUCUGGAAACUGUGAAAACCUAGAGCCAUGAGUAGCUUAACAACAUCUUCAUCUAAUAGAAAUUAACCCAAUUUUAUGACAGCAUGGACAAUGGAGGAAAUACAGUCUUACUCAGCACUCUAUGAUUAAAAUGAUUGACUGAAAUAGACACUUAGAAGCCUUGUUAUGGAAUAUAUUAAUCUUGACAACCAUAGCAGAAGAGCAGUUGUUGUGCACUGAAAGAAGUUGCUACAAGUCAUUCAGCCCUUGGCUCAUGUCCAGUAACACUUCCAAGAUGGGACAUCUUGACUAUUUUAACAUGAAUGCUUGAGAAACACUUGGAUGCUUUGGGAAUGAGGGUAGGUGAUGAUUUAUAUAGGAAUGGUCAAUAAACACCUUCUACCCAUCAAGAGCAUGUGAAGCUUGUGCAAUGAUCUUCAAACUUCUGACCCAGGAUAACCCAUGUAAUUUGUCCACCCCGUUUUGAGUGUUGUAAGAACAGCUGCAUGGCCUUAU
Long non-coding RNA from Poecile atricapillus (Black-capped chickadee), 1142 nucleotides. RefSeq lists it as uncharacterized. Lineage: Eukaryota; Metazoa; Chordata; Aves; Passeriformes; Paridae. The transcript is spliced from 3 exons. The record is from RefSeq and is a predicted model, not a curated record.